AGCUUAUGAUGAUAAACCAAAGUAUAAAAGGAGUGAGCAGCUGACAACAGUUGGCACACGUGUGACUAGUAACUAAUCUUCUCGCUGACGGCA
Molecule: small nucleolar RNA, 93 nt
Organism: Drosophila eugracilis
Lineage: Eukaryota; Metazoa; Arthropoda; Insecta; Diptera; Drosophilidae
Product: small nucleolar RNA Z30a
Exons: 1
Source: RefSeq, a predicted model, not a curated record